Molecule: ribosomal RNA, 827 nt
Filed under: Bacillus pseudomycoides
Lineage: Bacteria; Bacillati; Bacillota; Bacilli; Caryophanales; Bacillaceae
Description: bacterial SSU rRNA
Rfam family: Bacterial small subunit ribosomal RNA
Source: RNAcentral
UGCAGUCGAGCGAAUGGAUUAAGAGCUUGCUCUUAUGAAGUUAGCGGCGGACGGGUGAGUAACACGUGGGUGACCUGCCCAUAAGACUGGGAUAACUCCGGGAAACCGGGGCUAAUACCGGAUAACAUUUUGAACCGCAUGGUUCGAAAUUGAAAGGCGGCUUCGGCUGUCACUUAUGGAUGGACCCGCGUCGCAUUAGCUAGUUGGUGAGGUAACGGCUCACCAAGGCGACGAUGCGUAGCCGACCUGAGAGGGUGAUCGGCCACACUGGGACUGAGACACGGCCCAGACUCCUACGGGAGGCAGCAGUAGGGAAUCUUCCGCAAUGGACGAAAGUCUGACGGAGCAACGCCGCGUGAGUGAUGAAGGCUUUCGGGUCGUAGAACUCUGUUGUUAGGGAAGAACAAGUGCUAGUUGAAUAAGCUGGCACCUUGACGGUACCUAACCAGAAAGCCACGGCUAACUACGUGCCAGCAGCCGCGGUAAUACGUAGGUGGCAAGCGUUAUCCGGAAUUAUUGGGCGUAAAGCGCGCGCAGGUGGUUUCUUAAGUCUGAUGUGAAAGCCCACGGCUCAACCGUGGAGGGUCAUUGGAAACUGGGAGACUUGAGUGCAGAAUAGGAAAGUGGAAUUCCAUGUGUAGCGUUAAAAUGCGUAAAAGAUAUGGAGGAACCCCCAGUGGCGAAAGGCAACUUUCUGGUCUGUAACUUAACACUGAGGGCCGAAAGCGGUGUGGAGCAAACCGGGAUUAGAAACCCCUGGAAAGUCCCACGGCCGUAAAACCAAUGAAGUGCCAAAGGGUUAAAAGGGUUUCCGCCCCUUUUAGGGG